This 672-nucleotide long non-coding RNA is filed under the name Homo sapiens (human). RNAcentral describes it as "non-protein coding lnc-DHX57-5:1". The record is from RNAcentral. Lineage: Eukaryota; Metazoa; Chordata; Mammalia; Primates; Hominidae.
AAAGACCUCCAUACAUUCCACAAGAUAGUGGCCUCACCAGUUAAUUCUGAUGCUAAUAGAGGAUGCACCAAAUAUAGUAGGAAAAUGAUUGUUUGACUGUACCAGUCUAGAAGACGGGAAAGAGCAGUAUGCCUGACUGGAGGCACUGCCUUCCUUCUAUCAGUCACCCUGAAUGUGUCUUCUCUAUAGUAGUUAUACUAUCGCCACCCCCCUACUCUCUACAUUAUUUUAUUUACUAAAUUCUUUAAGCUAUAACUUUAUUGGAAAAACUCUAAAACCUUUAGUUCACUUUUUUUUUAUUCCCAGAUGUAUUGUAGAAACUGAAAAUUUAGAAGAAAGAGUAGCUGUGGUGAGUCGAAUUAUUGAGAUUCUACAAGUCUUUCAAGAGUUGAACAACUUUAAUGGUGUCCUUGAGGUUGUCAGUGCUAUGAAUUCAUCACCUGUUUACAGACUAGACCACACAUUUGAGCAAAUACCAAGUCGCCAGAAGAAAAUUUUAGAAGAAGCUCAUGAAUUGAGUGAAGAUCACUAUAAGAAAUAUUUGGCAAAACUCAGGUCUAUUAAUCCACCAUGUGUGCCUUUCUUUGGAAUUUAUCUCACUAAUAUCUUGAAAACAGAAGAAGGCAACCCUGAGGUCCUAAAAAGACAUGGAAAAGAGCUUAUAAACUUUAG